This 21-nucleotide microRNA is filed under the name Glycine max (soybean). Its description in RNAcentral is "gma-miR5786". Lineage: Eukaryota; Viridiplantae; Streptophyta; Magnoliopsida; Fabales; Fabaceae. The record is from miRBase by way of RNAcentral.
UGUCGCAGGAUAGAGGGCACU